UAUCUGUAAACAGAGGGCCGAGGUUGGAUGU
This 31-nucleotide non-coding RNA is filed under the name Rattus norvegicus (Norway rat). The record is from RNAcentral. Lineage: Eukaryota; Metazoa; Chordata; Mammalia; Rodentia; Muridae.